GACGAACGCUGGCGGCGUGCCUAAUACAUGCAAGUAGAACGCUGAAGGAGGAGCUUGCUUCUCUGGAUGAGUUGCGAACGGGUGAGUAACGCGUAGGUAACCUGCCUGGUAGCGGGGGAUAACUAUUGGAAACGAUAGCUAAUACCGCAUAAUAGUAGAUGUUGCAUGACAUUUGCUUAAAAGGUGCAAUUGCAUCACUACCAGAUGGACCUGCGUUGUAUUAGCUAGUUGGUGAGGUAACGGCUCACCAAGGCGACGAUACAUAGCCGACCUGAGAGGGUGAUCGGCCACACUGGGACUGAGACACGGCCCAGACUCCUACGGGAGGCAGCAGUAGGGAAUCUUCGGCAAUGGACGGAAGUCUGACCGAGCAACGCCGCGUGAGUGAAGAAGGUUUUCGGAUCGUAAAGCUCUGUUGUAAGAGAAGAACGAGUGUGAGAGUGGAAAGUUCACACUGUGACGUAUCUACCAGAAAGGACGCA
RNAcentral lists this ribosomal RNA (482 nucleotides) under Streptococcus mitis. RNAcentral's name for it is "bacterial SSU rRNA". It matches the Rfam family "Bacterial small subunit ribosomal RNA", at positions 28 to 496 of the family's 1533-position model. The record is from RNAcentral. Lineage: Bacteria; Bacillati; Bacillota; Bacilli; Lactobacillales; Streptococcaceae.